UGGGGAAUUUUGGACAAUGGGGGAAACCCUGAUCCAGCCAUCCCGCGUGUGCGAUGAAGGCCUUCGGGUUGUAAAGCACUUUUGGCAGGAAAGAAACGUCAUGGGUUAAUACCCCGUGAAACUGACGGUACCUGCAGAAUAAGCACCGGCUAACUACGUGCCAGCAGCCGCGGUAAUACGUAGGGUGCAAGCGUUAAUCGGAAUUACUGGGCGUAAAGCGUGCGCAGGCGGUUCGGAAAGAAAGAUGUAAAUCCCAGAGCUCAACUUUGGAACUGCAUUUUUAACUACCGGGCUAGAGUGUGUCAGAGGGAGGUGGAAUUCCGCGUGUAGCAGUGAAAUGCGUAGAUAUGCGGAGGAACACCGAUGGCGAAGGCAGCCUCCUGGGAUAACACUGACGCUCAUGCACGAAAGCGUGGGGAGCAAACAGG
RNAcentral lists this ribosomal RNA (428 nucleotides) under Acidobacteriota bacterium. RNAcentral's name for it is "Acidobacteria bacterium partial 16S ribosomal RNA". It matches the Rfam family "Bacterial small subunit ribosomal RNA", at positions 355 to 776 of the family's 1533-position model. Lineage: Bacteria; Pseudomonadati; Acidobacteriota. The record is from RNAcentral.